GAUAAUUUGGUUAAUUGUUGUUGUUAAGUUAUUUGUAUUUAUGGAGUUAGAAGCAUCUUUUUACUUAGUGUUGUUGAGCGAAAUGUUAAAAUUAAAGUGAGUUAAGUACUGAUAGGGAAAGGUUGUGUGAGUUGAUAAAAGUAAAGAUUAAAUUUUGUACCUUUUGUAUAAUGGUUUAUCUAGGGUUAGGUAAGUAUUUUGUUUCCCGAAAUUAAGUGAUCUACUUGUGGACUGUUUUGGCUUCAGUGUUACAGAACUGUGUCUAGAUUUACUAGUAGUGGUGAAAUUCCUGUCGCACUUGGUGAUAGCUGGUUGACCAGGAAAGAUAUAGAAGUAUUGGGCCUAUGUAUUUAUUUAGAUAAGUUGAUUUAUUUGUAAUAAUUAUUAGGUGCUUGUACUAGGAGGGAUAAGCUUUCUAGUUGUUUUAAGGGGAUGAUUGUUUGAUGUUCUUAAUUUGUGGGCUUAGGAUUGGCCAUCAUUAAAUGGAAGUUUGUUAUAAAUUAUUAUGGUUGAAGUUCUCAAAUUAUUAUGAUUUCCUUUUUAGGGACUGGUUUUCUAGGAUGUAAUUAUAGUUGUCUUAGUUGUUUCUGUUAAAAUGAGUAUUUUUUUAUGGAAUGAUUUUACUUAGUCUUGGGAAUUAAAUUGAUGAAAAAAGUUAAAUGAGGUAUUCGAAAUGUGAGUAAGGAAUUCGGCAAAAGUUUAUUUCGCCUGUUUAUCAAAAACAUGUCUCUUCGUUAUUGUUAUAUGGGGAGUCUGGCCUGCCCGGUGACUAAUUGGUUUAACGGCCGCGGUACUCUGACCGUGCAAAGGUAGCAUAAUCAUUUGCCUCUUAAUUGGGGGCUGGAAUGAAUGGCUCGACGAAAAUAUAUCUGUCUCUCUCAUAUUUUAUAGAAAUUAAUUUUUAGGUGAAAAAGCCUGAAUUUAACUGAAAGACAAGAAGACCCUGUUGAGCUUGAAUAUUAUUUAGUGGGGUAGUUCGUAAUUUAUUAUAGGUUUUAUCCUUAGAUUGUUUUUGGUUGGGGUGACCGAGGAACAGAAAAAAUUUCCUUGAUUAUGAUUAGGAAUUUCAUUUUUAGAUCCGUUAUUUAGCGAUUAAUGGAAAUAGUUACCACAGGGAUAACAGCGUGAUCUUUCUUGAGAGUUCUUAUCGAAAGAAGGGGUUGCGACCUCGAUGUUGGACUAGGAUUAUCUAGGAGGUGUAGAAGCUUCUUGGGUUGGUCUGUUCGACCAUUAAAAUCCUACAUGAUCUGAGUUCAGACCGGCGUGAGCCAGGUCGGUUUCUAUCUUUAGUUUAGGAAUGUGCUUUGGCUAGUACGAAAGGACCGCUUUAGGCUAAAUAAUUUGAUGAAAUUGUGAAGAUAAAUAAUUUUAGGUUAAGUUUUAUUU
This 1386-nucleotide ribosomal RNA is filed under the name Entemnotrochus adansonianus. RNAcentral's name for it is "16S ribosomal RNA". The stretch from base 624 to 1386 matches the Rfam family "Archaeal large subunit ribosomal RNA", at positions 1423 to 2843 of the family's 2987-position model. Lineage: Eukaryota; Metazoa; Mollusca; Gastropoda; Pleurotomariida; Pleurotomariidae. The record is from RNAcentral.